UGGAUGAGCCCGCGGCCUAUCAGCUUGUUGGUGGGGUAAUGGCCUACCAAGGCGUCGACGGGUAGCCGGCCUGAGAGGGUGUACGGCCACAUUGGGACUGAGACACGGCCCAGACUCCUACGGGAGGCAGCAGUGGGGAAUAUUGCACAAUGGGCGCAAGCCUGAUGCAGCGACGCCGCGUGGGGGAUGAAGGCCCUCGGGUUGUAAACUCCUUUCGCUAGGGACGAAGCCUUAUGGUGACGGUACCUGGAGAAGAAGCACCGGCUAACUACGUGCCAGCAGCGCGG
This 287-nucleotide ribosomal RNA is filed under the name uncultured bacterium. Its description in RNAcentral is "partial 16S ribosomal RNA". It matches the Rfam family "Bacterial small subunit ribosomal RNA", at positions 222 to 520 of the family's 1533-position model. The record is from RNAcentral.